This 2502-nucleotide long non-coding RNA is filed under the name Homo sapiens (human). RNAcentral's name for it is "HSALNT0320788". Lineage: Eukaryota; Metazoa; Chordata; Mammalia; Primates; Hominidae. The record is from RNAcentral.
CUCUUUCUCUUUUCUCCCUUCAUUCUGAUCAUCAGAGGUAUUCAUCUGCCUAAAGGAGUAUUUUCUUUUUCUUUCCUUUCUUUCUUGCUUCUUUUUAAACAGAAAAUCUGCAAAUAGAAGAAUCUUCUGACAUUUAAAAGUCCCUGGGAGAAUAAUGGGAUGAAAAAGAGAAAGCAGAGGAGGAGAGUAAAGUAUUUAUAUCUAUAUUUGAAUUCAUUCUUUUAUUUUGGUGGGGGAAGGGGCAGGAUCUGUAAAUAUGCUGCUUCAUAUCCUGGGUUUUAUCACUCUUGGGUGCAGCCAACUUUCAGUAAGCUUGGCAGAACAAUGUGGUCAGGAAGAAAGAGCUGAGAUUGACUAUACCGUAUGCCACUCGCUAUUUCUCUGUAGCAUAGACUAAAUAUAGAAGUGUCUGAGCAUCUGGUCUGGAGGUUUCCAGAGAGUGUUGCCAUAGAGGAAGUGAAGUGGCUCUAAAAGGAGCAGUGUAGAUGGAGUACAUACUAGGGACAAAUGUGAGUCAUACUCAAACAGGGAGAAGUCUAAAUUGCCCAUGGGAGCUAAGAGAGGCUGAGUCACUAUGGCCCUAGUCAAGACUAUACUAAGUGAAUCCUAAGCUAUGGUAGCCGACAACUUCAUUUUAGAAUGAAGCAGGGCAAGAAGCAUUCAAGUGGUUAGGCAACAUUAUCCCAUGCAUGUCUGAAGAUUCCAAGUCUUCCUCUUCACUAUGGUGUAAGCCAUGUUUGUCCAUUUGGUGCAUGGUAUGUAGUGGACGGUGUAAGCCACACCUGGAUGCCAUAUUAGAGGGAGAAGGAGGGGGAGUGAGGAUCUGAGCAUUUUUAACUAAAAGAGACUGAUUUAUUUAAAUAACUAUUUUAGCUAUUAGAUAACCUUAAGUUUAAACAGAUUGAAUUUAAUUUCUGCACAUUCCCUUGCCCCUCCAUGAGGAGCUCUUGAGCAACAGAACAAUUAUAGACAGACUAAAUGUCAUUUUUUCUUUUCACCCCCAAAUUGUAGGAUGAGCUGGAAUAUACAACAUCCCUACAUAGGCCUUUGAAUUGAUGAGUAAUAUGAAAUCAACAUAGGAGAUAUUUAUUGAGAGAUUGGAACAUGGAAGAAAUUAGGGUGGGUGCUGCAUGUUCUAAGCAAUAUCUGGUGAUAUUUAUUGGCAAAGGCAGUGAUCCUGAGGGGUAUGGAGGGUGGGGGAAGGUCUGUGAGGCAGAGACAUCAUAUCCAAUUAGGUCUGCACAGACAAACAGAGUGCCGGAGACUUGUAGAAGAUGGAAUGCCAGGGUGAAGAAUUUGGUUUUAUUUUGUAGAGUAUGAAGAGCUAGUGAAAGUUCACAGGAGAUUAACAAAAUAAAAAUUAAGGAUUUAGGAGGAACAGUGGUAAGAAAGAACAUGUAGGAGGCUUUUGCAGUAUCCAGUAAUGAGAUGUAAUCACUUGGAUUAGGAUUACGCCAAAGAAAAACAUUACAAAGAAAAAAACCCCUUCUUCUGGUGCCCAAGCAAAAAGCCUUAAUAACUAAAAUGGACUGGAAUGUUAACAUGUAAAAAUGAAGAUAGGGUGAAAAAGACAAGGGCUUUAAUGUUAGACAUAUUGAUGUUAAGGGAAUAUAGAACCUGAGCUCAGAAAGCAAUAUACAGUUAGAGAUAGAGAAUUGGGUAUCACAGGCUCUUAGUGUGUCCCAGUACAAGUCCUUCCCAGUUUUCAUAGCCCAUGGUCAACUCUUCUUUCCUUGAACAUCUUACAUGCUAAUUGUUUAUUACUUUUCAGAUCCUAUUGUUUCACUUAUACAUAGUUGUAAUAUUUUCAAUAAUUUUUAACCUGAAACUAGUAUCCAUUUUUCCUGAUGCAACACCUAAUAAGGUUAUUUCCUCUUUCCUAUGAAACCCUCCCAACAUUUGAAAAAGUUUAGUGUUCCUUCGAACUCGCUGGCUGCUUUCUCUUCUCCAGGUUGACACUACAGUUCUCUUGUGUUAGGUGACUAUGUUCAGACCCAUCACCUGAUUAUGAAUUCCCUUUUGUUUGUGGGGUUCCAAAUCAGACCUUGACUCUGAUGUGGCCUGAUCGACCCCAAGCACGGGGCAUCCAUCCACUUCCUUGCCUUGACCACAGCCCUAUUUUUACUAAUACAACUUAAUUUUGUGCUUUUUGACAACCACUUCAAUUUGUUGGCUCUUGUCAAGCAUGUGGACAUCUUAGAUGUGUUCAUUAAAGAUGUCAGAAUACACGAGAGCUCCCUGAUGGAGAGAAAAAGAGCAUGCAGCCAGAAGCUCAUAGUAUUUGGUCAAGUGUGUAGGGAAGGUAGCAAAGAAAAUAGAAAAACCAAACGCAGGGAAGCCAGGAUCAUAGGGAAUAUGUUGAGUGAAACAGUAGGCAGGAAUUGCCAAAUAGUUUUUCUUAAUCCCUCAGUCCAGUACUCACGAGAGUAGCUGUGCUAUGGAAAGAACACAUGCAUUAGAAUCAGUUGUCUCACUGCCGUUUAUGGGCUGUGUGAUCUUGGG